This 879-nucleotide ribosomal RNA is filed under the name uncultured bacterium. RNAcentral describes it as "bacterial SSU rRNA". It matches the Rfam family "Bacterial small subunit ribosomal RNA", at positions 62 to 903 of the family's 1533-position model. The record is from RNAcentral.
UCGAACGAGUUCUCGUUGAUGAUCGGUGCUUGCACCGAGAUUCAACAUGGCAACGAGUGGCGGACGGGUGAGUAACACGUGGGUAACCUGCCCUUAAGUGGGGGAUAACAUUUGGAAACAGAUGCUAAUACCGCAUAGAUCCAAGAACCGCAUGGUUCUUGGCUGAAAGAUGGCGUAAGCUAUCGCUUUUGGAUGGACCCGCGGCGUAUUAGCUAGUUGGUGAGGUAAUGGCUCACCAAGGCGAUGAUACGUAGCCGAACUGAGAGGUUGAUCGGCCACAUUGGGACUGAGACACGGCCCAAACUCCUACGGGAGGCAGCAGUAGGGAAUCUUCCACAAUGGACGCAAGUCUGAUGGAGCAACGCCGCGUGAGUGAAGAAGGCUUUCGGGUCGUAAAACUCUGUUGUUGGAGAAGAAUGGUCGGCAGAGUAACUGUUGUCGGCGUGACGGUAUCCAACCAGAAAGCCACGGCUAACUACGUGCCAGCAGCCGCGGUAAUACGUAGGUGGCAAGCGUUAUCCGGAUUUAUUGGGCGUAAAGCGAGCGCAGGCGGUUUUUUAAGUCUGAUGUGAAAGCCCUCGGCUUAACCGAGGAAGCGCAUCGGAAACUGGGAAACUUGAGUGCAGAAGAGGACAGUGGAACUCCAUGUGUAGCGGUGAAAUGCGUAGAUAUAUGGAAGAACACCAGUGGCGAAGGCGGCUGUCUGGUCUGUAACUGACGCUGAGGCUCGAAAGCAUGGGUAGCGAACAGGAUUAGAUACCCUGGUAGUCCAUGCCGUAAACGAUGAAUGCUAGGUGUUGGAGGGUUUCCGCCCUUCAGUGCCGCAGCUAACGCAUUAAGCAUUCCGCCUGGGGAGUACGACCGCAAGGUUGAAACUCA